RNAcentral lists this ribosomal RNA (492 nucleotides) under uncultured bacterium. Its description in RNAcentral is "bacterial SSU rRNA". It matches the Rfam family "Bacterial small subunit ribosomal RNA", at positions 903 to 1397 of the family's 1533-position model. The record is from RNAcentral.
AAAUGAAUUGACGGGGACCCGCACAAGCGGUGGAGCAUGUGGUUUAAUUCGAAGCAACGCGAAGAACCUUACCAAGGCUUGACAUCCCCCUGACCGCCGUAGAGAUACGGCUUUCCUUCGGGACAGGGGAGACAGGUGGUGCAUGGUUGUCGUCAGCUCGUGUCGUGAGAUGUUGGGUUAAGUCCCGCAACGAGCGCAACCCUUAUCUUCAGUAGCCAUCAUUAAGUUGGGGACUCUGGAGAGACUGCCGUGGAUAACACGGAGGAAGGCGGGGACGACGUCAAAUCAUCAUGCCCCUUAUGUCUUGGGCUACACACGUGCUACAAUGGCUCGAACAGAGUGACGCUAAGCCGCGAGGCGGAGCAAACCACUAAAACGAGUCUCAGUUCGGAUUGCAGGCUGCAACCCGCCUGCAUGAAGCUGGAAUCGCUAGUAAUCGCAAAUCAGCAUGUUGCGGUGAAUACGUUCCCGGGUCUUGUACACACCGCCCGU